Molecule: long non-coding RNA, 539 nt
Organism: Scylla paramamosain (green mud crab)
Lineage: Eukaryota; Metazoa; Arthropoda; Malacostraca; Decapoda; Portunidae
Exons: 2
Source: RefSeq, a predicted model, not a curated record
AGACAAGCUCGCCAGUCAUCACACAGGCUCUGUUGGAGCAGGUUGAGAGUCUUUGCGUGGUUUUUCCAGUGUCGGUGUUUUGUGACGAAUUGUUUUGACUGAUUUCCGGAGAGCUAUGACUGACUUGACGUAAUGGAGCUGCAUCCUGAAAGACGGUUCCCUUUUGAUGCUCCUGCUGCCUGCACACAACUGUACACCACCGAGCUAAAAGGAAGUACUACCAAGUGUUUGAUGGAAUUUUAUUAGUUACUAAUAGGGAAGAUAUCUUUGCAAUGGUGGAGCAAUUUCCUAGUGUCAUAUGAUAUUUACGCCGUGGUUUUGCUACAAGUAGUUGUGAAUGAAUAUAGUGACUUUUCAAAACUUUCAUAUAUUUUGCAGAUGUGGACCGUCAGCGGGAGAUGGAGACUGAAGAGGCCGCGGACGACGGUGACAACGUCCUUCUACUUACUUUAAUGAAUGAACACAGUGUGUGUCAGACUCGUGGAUUGAUAGUGUUAUCGAUUAAUGAGCAGCAAUGUAUAAAGUCCUGGACUUCCCAA